Molecule: RNA transcript, 5072 nt
Organism: Dreissena polymorpha
Lineage: Eukaryota; Metazoa; Mollusca; Bivalvia; Myida; Dreissenidae
Gene name: transmembrane protein with metallophosphoesterase domain-like
Exons: 6
Source: RefSeq, a predicted model, not a curated record
AACAAAGUGACUGAGAUGAAUCCUUUUAAUAUGUAUUAAUUAGUAUGCGUUAGACCUGAAAAUGUGUAUUUAAAAGUGGGGCUUUAGCCUUUAACAAAAUUGUGAUGUCGCGAAAACACCGUGGGCAGCUACUCUUCAAAAUGGCGAUUAAUGUCAUACGAAGAGCAAUUUAUCUGUCGAUUUUUGUAUUGCUUGUAGUUAUAAUCAAUAAAUGGGUAAUUUUUCAAAUAGAAGAUUCCGUAGUAAAAGCAAAGCUUUUAAGAUUCCAGUUUUCUUGCUGCAUUAUCACGAUGAUGACUUUUAUUAACUGUUAUAUAUGGAGGAACUUGUCAACAGUAUUAGAUUUCGGACACAGUUAUUCGGACAACAAGGAAUGGACAUUUUUAAUUAACCUUGCAGAAUUUCGCAAUUGGAAGCAGUAUACUGUAAAUUCGGCAUUGUGGAGAUUAUAUUUGUCUGUGAUACUCGUUUCUUCGUUAUUUUCAUAUACAACAUUUUCUUUUAUGAUCAGAACUAACCCAUUGAAAGUGUCAAUAUUUUUGUUUUUGUGCUUUGCAAUGACUGUCCAGUUAUUUUGUGGUCUCGUCAUUACUAAAUUAGCCACAUUGGUAUGGAGAUUUUGUCAUAGAGAUUUUAGUUAUCACACUGAACGUCAAAAUAAAACUAAGCAGUUUGUUAUACUUGCAUAUUCAUUGAUUGUGGUCACCGUUGGAUUUUACAAUGCAAUGAAGCUCCCUGAUAUAAAAGAAGUUACAAUACCAGUGAAAGACAUGCCAAAGUCGUUAAAUAGAAUGACCAUAACAUUUGUAUCCGACAUUCAUCUUGGACCAACUACUGGACAGCAAUCCCUGGAGAGGAUAGUGAAUAUGAUAAAUUACCUCAACUCAGAUCUUGUGAUAAUCGGAGGUGACCUUGUUGACGGCCGUGUCAGCCAGCUGGAGGAUGCAGUGGAGUCCUUGAGCUGGAUUAAGGCCAGAUACGGGCAAUACUUUGUGACAGGGAACCACGAAUAUUACACCACAGACGCACAUAACUGGAUAAAAAAGCUCAAGAGCCUUGGCAUUGAAACUCUUCAUAACUCAAACGUGAAGAUAUCUGCCCCCGGCUCCAAUGAUGCCAUAUGUCUUGCUGGAGUUGAUGACCCAACUGCCGAUCUCUAUGGGUUUAUGGACCACACGAUGGACCUGGACUCAGCCCUGAGGACCUGUGACCCCUCACAGUCAGUAGUACUGAUAGCACACCAGCCCAAGGUGGCCAAGAUAGCCCUUGACUCCAAGUACAGAGUGGACCUGGUGUUGUCAGGUCACACACAUGGUGGUCAAAUGUUCCCCUUGAUGCUUGGUGCCUAUCUUCUCAACCCAUUCUAUGCUGGCCUAUAUCGUCAUGGUGACCAAGCUCAUGUUUACGUCUCUAUGGGAACAAGGUUUUGGGGUUUCCCAGUCAGGUUUGGAACAAGUUCAGAAAUAUCACAUAUCACAUUAGUCUCAACGUAAAUAUCACACAAUUUCACAAGUUUCCGGUUCAUAAGAUACUUUGUUAAUUUAUUUCUUGUUUUUGUUACUAGAGUUUGUGAUUUGGAAUGUUUUAAUAAUUGACAAUCUUGUAUGAUAUGCAUUAAAGCCUCCAAUUCUUCAUUGGACUAGAAAUAUGUUGAUUUUUAACAAUUUAACUAUAGGUAGUUUUGUAGACAGUAAACCGUUCGUAAAUUAAUAUUGUCACAUGCUACAUAUUGUAAUUAUUUUAAAUUACCAUUACAAAUAUUGUUAUCUAAAACAUGUGUAAUGUAUCUAUUUAAUUGUUUUAAUUGGCUUCUUUUUCUUUUGCUGAACAAUCAUGUUGAACAAUCAUGUUAUGUUUUUACUCUAUAGUGACAUUUAAACAUAAGAUGAUAUCACUUAACGUAAACAACUUUAAAAUUAUGUGAUAAGAAAGUUCUGACACCCGUCAUUUCAUAUAAUGUUUUAUUAAAUUCAUAUUGACAUUGCCAAAGGCUCACUUGUUAACAAAAUUCCUUAAAUCGUUUAAUAUAUAUGGUAUUAACUUGUACCAGAUCCUAUGUUUACUUAUUUAUGCUUAACUGUUAACUUUGAUGGUGUAUUUAGUUAAUGUUUAUUUAUCAGAUAAUUAGGCUAAAAUAAUAGUUAGAAAAUGCAUGCUGCUUAAUAUGUAUUAAUGACAUGCACAAUAAACCAAGUGAUCAGUGAUGAUUAAGGGCACAACAAACUCAGUACGUUAUUUUGAUGUUUUAGAUAUUUUCACUGAAUUUGUGAUUUAUUUUAAUGCCCCCCUUCGAAGAAGAGUGGGUAUAUUGUCCACCAGAUGGUUUCCGGAUGAUAACUCAAGAACGCUUAUGCCUAGGAUCAUGAAACUUCAUAGGUACAUUGAUCAUGACUGGCAGAUGACCCCUAUUGAUUUUCAGGUUACGAGGUCAAAGGUCAAGGUCACAGUGACAAAAAUCGUAUUCACUCAAUGGCUGUCACUACAACUAACAGCCCAUAUGGGGGGCAUGCAUGUUUUACAAACAGCCCUUGUUCCUAUUAACAUCUUUCAAUAAAUUGAAACCUUCUUAGACUAUACCAUCUGACUUCGUGUUACAUGAAGUCAUAAAAAAUUAAUGGAAACCAAUACUGUAUGAAAAAAAUUUGAGCCUCGUUCUGUGAAAACUUGGCUUAUUGCAUAUUUAUAGUGUCGUCACAGAUAAGCCAAAUUUUAUUCAUACCCAAAUUCUUUUUUGUACCAUAAUUUUUUUUGUACCUAAAUUUUGUGUUCGUACCAAUUUCUUGUCUGUACCCAAAAAAUUUUCGUACCCAAAUUGUUAAGUACCCAAAUUUGUUCUUACCAAAAUUUUUGUUCAUACCAAUUUUUUUUUCUGGUACCCAAAUUUGUUCAAAUCCAUUUUUUUUUUCGUAUCCCAUUUUUUUUUUGUACCCAAAUUUUUGUUUGUACCCAAUUUUUUUUAACAUAACUUCUUCAUUUAUUCACCAAAUUAAUACUUAACAUCUCUUAUGACAACACGGUCUAUCUUGACCAUCCAUGUCCACAUUACCCAUCCCGGGGCCCCACGAACAUAGGCCUUGCCCACCCAAAAUUGCCUUUUAAUGUAACAUCUAUGCGGCCUGGGGAUACGCGGCCUCUGCCGCGCCAUUUCUAGUGUGGUGAUUGAAUUGCAUUUUUGUACAUUACAAUUUUUGUGUGGGACGCUCUGGUGUGUACAGUAGAGAACGAUGAUUAACCCUCUUCAUGUAAAAAUUGGUAUUUUGUCACAUUUGGUUCAGUGUUGCUCCAGAUGAGCUCAACAAGGAGAGUAAUGCAAUGUUUGAUUGUCAAGAAGCUAUUCUAACUGCUCCAAAGUCAUGCAAUGUUUGAUUGUCAAGAAGCUAUUCUAACUGCUCCAAAGUCAUGCAAUGUUUGAUUGUCAAGAAGCUAUUCUAACCACUCCAAAGUCAUGCAAUGUUUGAUUGUCAAGAAGCUAUUCUAACUGCUCCAAAGUCAUGCAAUGUUUGAUUGUCAAGAAGCUAUUCUAACUGCUCCAAAGUCAUGCAAUGUUUGAUUGUCAAGUAGCUAUUCUAACUGCUCCAAAGUCAUGCAAUGUUUGAUUGUCAAGAAGCUAUUCUAACCGCUCCAAAGUCAUGCAAUGUUUGAUUGUCAAGAAGCUAUUCUAACUGCUCAAAAGUCAUGCAACGUUUGAUUGUCAAGAAGCUAUUCUAACCGCUCCAAAGUCAUGCAAUGUUUGAUAGUCAAGAAGCUAUUCUAACCGCUCCAAAGUCAUGCAAGUUUGAUUGUCAAGGAGCUAUUCUAACUGCUCCAAAGUCUUGCAAUGUUUGAUUGUCAAGGAGCUAUUCUAACUGCCCCAAAGUCUUGCAAUGUUUGAUUGUCAAGAAGCUAUUCUAACUGCUCCAAAGUCUUGCAAUGUUUGAUUGUCAAGAAGCUAUUCUAACUGCUCCAAAGUCAUGCAAUGUUUGAUUGUCAAGAAGCUAUUCUAACUGCUCCAAAGUCAUGCAAUGUUUGAUUGUCAAGAAGCUAUUCUAACUGCUCCAAAGUCAUGCAAUGUUUGAUUGUCAAGGAGCUAUUCUAACUGCUCCAAAGUCAUGCAAUGUUUGAUUGUCAAGAAGCUAUUCUAACUGCUCCAAAGUCAUGCAAUGUUUGAUUGUCAAGAAGCUAUUCUAACUGCUCCAAAGUCAUGCAAUGUUUGAUUGUCAAGAAGCUAUUCUAACUGCUUUAAAGUCAUGCAAUGUUUGAUUGUCAAGAAGCUAUUCUAACUGCUCCAAAGUCAUGCAAUGUUUGAUUGUCAAGAAGCUAUUCUAACUGCUCCAAAGUAAUGCAAUGUUUGAUUGUCAAGAAGCUAUUCUAACCGCUCCAAAGUCAUGCAAUGUUUGAUUGUCAAGAAGCUAUUCUAACUGCUCCAAAGUCACGCAAUGUUUCAUUGCCUCAUUAUUGAACAGAGUAGAUAAUGACAAGAAUGCACAAAUGGUAGGAGCUUUGUUUGCAGCAUAUGGCAUAAGAACCAUGGUCACAUGAUGCAGGUCAGUGAUUGAACAUUUAGAUAUAGAAUAUUCAGUCAUCUCAAAUGAUAUUGUCCUGUAUUGUUUUGAUAGGCAAAAGAACAAAAUUAUCAGUAAAAAAUGAACAAUACAGAUUUCAUAACAAACGAUUUAAUAAAAACCUCCGAAUAUGUACAAUAUGAUAAAAUAUAACAGAUAUUUGGUUCAAUAUAUACAUUUGAAUAAUCAAUAACAAACAAACAUUCAUGUAUAACCCCAAAACAUUACAACUGAAAUUGAGCUCGUUUCAUGUAGUGAGAACAUGCAUAGAUAUGUUUUCUAAGUAAAACGCUUCAACACCAUACAAUAUAUAACAUUAAACUAUAGAAAAACAUUAACAGUAUAUGGCUUAAUAAAUCAUAUUAAUUGCAUGAAAUUUCAUUAAAGGUAAACUAGACAAUUUUGUACAAAAUCGAUACUGUACUGUUUAUUUUAAUCUUUUCAGUAUAUUAUUAUAAAAAUUAUGCUUUUGUUUGGAAAAAAUAUAAUAUUAUAUGCAAUGUGUGUUAUAUAAAGAAAUUUUCAUACAUA